UACGUAGGGCGCAAGCGUUGUCCGGAAUUAUUGGGCGUAAAGAGCGCGUAGGCGGUCCGAUAAGUCGGCUGUGAAAGUCAAGGGCUCAACCCUUGAAAGCCGGCCGAUACUGUCGGACUAGAGUCCGGAAGAGGCGAGUGGAAUUCCCGGUGUAGCGGUGAAAUGCGCAGAUAUCGGGAGGAACACCAAUAGCGAAGGCAGCUCGCUGGGACGGUACUGACGCUAAGGCGCGAAAGCGUGGGGAGCGAACAGG
This 253-nucleotide ribosomal RNA is filed under the name uncultured bacterium. RNAcentral describes it as "partial 16S ribosomal RNA". It matches the Rfam family "Bacterial small subunit ribosomal RNA", at positions 524 to 776 of the family's 1533-position model. The record is from RNAcentral.